AGAAUCAACGCUGGCGGCGUGCCUAACACAUGCAAGUCGAACGAGAAAGUGGAGCAAUCCAUUAGUAAAGUGGCGCACGGGUGAGUAACACGUGACUAACCUACCCUUGAGUGGGGGAUAACCUAGGGAACCUGGGCUAAUACCGCAUAAUACCUUCGGGUCAAAGGAGCAAUUCGCUUAAGGAGGGGGUCGCGGCCGAUUAGUUAGUUGGCGGGGUAAUGGCCCACCAAGACGAUGAUCGGUAU
Molecule: ribosomal RNA, 245 nt
Filed under: uncultured bacterium
Lineage: Bacteria
Description: partial small subunit ribosomal RNA
Rfam family: Bacterial small subunit ribosomal RNA
Source: RNAcentral